UCCCUAUGGGGUGCAGCAGGCGCGAAAUCUCUGCAAUAGGCGAAAGCUUGACAGGGUUACUCUGAGUGAUUCCCGCUAAGGGGAUCUUUUGGCACCUUUAAAAAUGGUGCAGAAUAAGGGGUGGGCAAGUCUGGUGUCAGCCGCCGCGGUAAUACCAGCUCUCCGAGUGGUAGGGAUGAUUAUUGGGCUUAAAGCGUCCGUAGCCGGCUUAGCAAGUUUCCUGUUAAACCCAGCGACUCAAUCGUUGGAUCGCGGGAAAUACUACUAGGCUAGGAGGCGGGAGAGGUCAACGGUACUUCUGGGGUAGGGGUGAAAUCCUAUAAUCCCGGGAGGACCACCAGUGGCGAAGGCUGUUGACUAGAACGCGCUCGACGGUGAGGGACGAAAGCUGGGGGAGCGAACCGGAUUAGAUACCCGGGUAGUCCCAGCUGUAAACGAUGCGAGCUAGGUGUUGGAAUGGCUACGGGCCAUUUCAGUGCCGCAGGGAAGCCAUUAAGCUCGCCGCCUGGGGAGUACGGCCGCAAGGCUGAAACUUAAAGGAAUUGGCGGGGGAGCACCACAAGGCGUGAAGCUUGCGGUUUAAUUGGAGUCAACGCCGGAA
This 601-nucleotide ribosomal RNA is filed under the name uncultured archaeon. RNAcentral describes it as "bacterial SSU rRNA". It matches the Rfam family "Archaeal small subunit ribosomal RNA", at positions 319 to 923 of the family's 1478-position model. The record is from RNAcentral.